GCGGUGUAGAACAGGCCCCUGCUGCCCAGGCUUUGCUGAGGUUCUGCAGACCUUCAGCACCUGCAAGGGGAUGCUGGGCGAGAUCCUGUCUGCAUUCGAGUUCAUGGAUGCUGUGUGCAUGCAGCUGGUCGGGCGCCAUCUCCACCUGGCCAGCCCGGUGCAAGAUCUCCACAAUGGAAGUUCGAAGCAAGCAAAAGCCACGCGAACCACAGGCCGAUCUGUCUGAGCCCCAGGAUUUGGCCCGGUUCCGCUUCAGCCACCAGCACCGUCUGCUCCUCCUCAGAAUCCUUCCUCCCCCGUGGCCCGCCGGCCGUGUCCCUCCUCCCCCACGGCCCGCCUACCAUGUCCUUCCCUCCCCCGUGGCCCACCCACCAUGUCCUUCCCUCCCCCGUGGCCCACCCACCAUGUCCUUUCCUCCCCCGUGGCCCACCCACCAUGUCCUUUCCUCCCCCAUGGCCCACCCGCCAUGUCCCUGCCUCCCACCCGACAUGCCCCUUGAGCUGCCUGGGCCCUGCUGUCGUCCCCACUGCCUGUGUGACUCUGCGCCCCCUUCCCUACCCUGCCCCGCCGUGGUUCAGGGAGCGUCCAGGCCCAUCCUCAUCCUCAGGGCCUUCCCUGGCCCUUGCCACUCCGUGCCGUGUCAUGACCUGAAGCUGCAGGUGGGCGCCUCCCCCUUCCAUCAUGGCUGUCCCCCUUCUGUGAGGUGUCCCAGUCGCCUGAUUGCCGGAGUCCCAGGGUGCUCGGUGCUGUCGUGGAGCCUGGGACAUUCACUGUCUGGGAUCGAUUCCAGGGUUGGAGCCACACCUGGUCUGGGGCAUUUGCUGUCUGGGGUUGGAGCCACACCUGGUGAAGAUACAGAACGUGCUGCUGCCCUAACCCCAUGUGGUGUGCCCCCUGUCCCCGGGUGUCGUUCCCAUAGCCAGCCCUUGUCUCAUCUCGUCUCAUCCUCUAGAUGCUGUGGGCCCUGAGGGAAAGGAUCACAGAGGCGCUGAGCCGGGAUGGCUACGUGUACAAGUACGACCUCUCCCUCCCCGUGGAGCGGCUCUACGACAUCGUGACUGACCUGCGCGCCCGCCUCGGCCCGCACGCCAAGCACGUGGUGGGCUAUGGCCACCUUGAUGGUAACCUGCACCUCAAUGUGACGGCGGAGGCCUUCAGCCCGUCGCUCCUGGCUGCCCUGGAGCCCCACGUGUACGAGUGGACGGCCGGGCAGCAGGGCAGCGUCAGCGCGGAGCACGGAGUGGGCUUCAGGAAGAGGGACGUCCUGGGUUACAGCAAGCCACCGGGGGCCCUGCAGCUCAUGCAGCAGCUCAAGGCCCUGCUGGACCCCAAGGGCAUCCUCAACCCCUACAAGACGCUGCCCAGCCAGGCCUGACGGCCACUCCCGCUGCUGCCAAGGCCCACUGGGGGUCAGCGGGUGGCUCUCGGGCGGGGGUGUUGCGGUGGCUCUGAGCGAUGAGCCGGCAGUGGGCAGGGGACCAGGCACCUGGUCGAAGGGACUGGGAGCCCGCACUGGGGAACUGCCGGACGCAGGCCCUCGGGCAGGAGCAUCUGGCAGAGUGGGGGGCGCGGCAGGCACCCUCCUUUGCAGGGCAAGGUGGGGCCUCUGCAGCCAUCCUGGACAGGCCGGGGUGGCGGCAGCUUUGCCCACGUGGAAGCGGGGUGGGUCUCACUUGCAUGGUGGUGGUCCCUGGCCCCAUCUUGCCUGCUGCAGUCUAGGGAGCAGGCACUGGGUGGUGUUUCUGCCUGUUUGCUGCUCGUUCCCCGGGCACGCGUGGGCAGCGGGGGGCAGCGGUGGGCAUGGGCAGGACCACGUGGGCCGUGAUCGUGGGUUGCCGAGAGGACCUGAGCGCUGCGGCUCUGCUGAAUGGAGCCGGGUCCCUCAGGCCGUGGACGCCCUCGGGAGGGGUGACUGUGGCUUGUGUCUGGACCUGAGUGACAGGAAUGUGUCAUUUCCCGCAUCUUCUAGAGGGCUGCCAGCUGGGAAGACAGUUAUCAGGGCAAGCUGUGCUCUGAGUUUCAGGUUCUGCUCCUACAAAGAACGUGCGGUGCUGCGGGCGAGGGCCCCGGCACGGACAAGGGUCACUGCAGAGUGUGUUUCUGCUCGUCAGCCACCCUGGGCAGCGGAUGGGCUGGGCGACGCAGCUGGACGCACAUCUCUUUCUGUCAUGAAUGUCCAGUAAAAAUCUGAAUUGGUUGCAA
RNAcentral lists this small RNA (2202 nucleotides) under Pan troglodytes (chimpanzee). RNAcentral's name for it is "processed transcript". Lineage: Eukaryota; Metazoa; Chordata; Mammalia; Primates; Hominidae. The record is from RNAcentral.